GACGAACGCUGGCGGCGUGCCUAAUACAUGCAAGUUGAGCGAUGAAGAUUGGUGCUUGCCCCAAUUUGAAGAGCAGCGAACGGGUGAGUAACGCGUGGGGAAUCUGCCUUUGAGCGGGGGACAACAUUUGGAAACGAAUGCUAAUACCGCAUAACAACUUUAAACAUAAGUUUUAAGUUUGAAAGAUGCAAUUGCAUCACUCAAAGAUGAUCCCGCGUUGUAUUAGCUAGUUGGUGAGGUAAAGGCUCACCAAGGCGAUGAUACAUAGCCGACCUGAGAGGGUGAUCGGCCACAUUGGGACUGAGACACGGCCCAAACUCCUACGGGAGGCAGCAGUAGGGAAUCUUCGGAAAUGGACGAAAGUCUGACCGAGCAACGCCGCGUGAGUGAAGAAGGUUUUCGGAUCGUAAAACUCUGUUGGUGGAGAAGAACGUUGGUGAGAGUGGAAAGCUCAUCAAGUGACGGUAACUACCCAGAAAGGGACGGCUAACUACGUG
This 497-nucleotide ribosomal RNA is filed under the name uncultured bacterium. RNAcentral's name for it is "partial 16S ribosomal RNA". It matches the Rfam family "Bacterial small subunit ribosomal RNA", at positions 28 to 507 of the family's 1533-position model. The record is from RNAcentral.